CCGUCGGUGGCGGGGUCGCGCAGGUGCCAGUCGGGCGCCGGACCGGUGGCCGCGACGGGCGCCGGCGCUGGGGCCGGCGUGGCGGGC
RNAcentral lists this transfer RNA (87 nucleotides) under Roseisolibacter agri. RNAcentral describes it as "tRNA-Asp". Lineage: Bacteria; Pseudomonadati; Gemmatimonadota; Gemmatimonadia; Gemmatimonadales; Gemmatimonadaceae. The record is from RNAcentral.